RNAcentral lists this ribosomal RNA (406 nucleotides) under uncultured bacterium. Its description in RNAcentral is "partial 16S ribosomal RNA". It matches the Rfam family "Bacterial small subunit ribosomal RNA", at positions 30 to 526 of the family's 1533-position model. The record is from RNAcentral.
AUUGAACGCUGGCGGCAGGCUUAACACAUGCAAGUCGAGCGAGCGGCGGACGGGUGAGUAAUGUCUGGGAAACUGACUGAGGGAGGGGGAUAACUACUGGAAACGGUAGCUAAUACCGCAUACCAUCAGAUGUGCCCAGAUGGGAUUGGCUAGUAGGUGGGGUAAUGGCUCACCUAGGCGACGGUCCCUAGCUGGUCUGAGAGGAUGACCAGCCACACUGGAACUGAGACACGGUCCAGACUCCUACGGGAGGCAGCAUUGGGGAAUAUUGCACAAUGGGCGCAAGCCUGCUGCAGCCAUGCCGCGUGUGUGAAGAAGGCCUUCGGGUUGUAAAGCACUUUCAGCGAGGAGGCGUUACUCGCAGAAGAAGCACCGGCUAACUCCGUGCCAGCAGCCGCGGUAAUUC